CACGUAGGGGGCGAGCGUUGUCCGGAUUUAUUGGGCGUAAAGAGCUCGUAGGCGGUUCGAUAAGUCGGGUGUGAAAACUCUAGGCUCAACUCAGAGACGCCACCCGAUACUGUUGUGACUUGAGUCCGGUAGGGGAGUAUGGAAUUCCCGGUGUAGCGGUGAAAUGCGCAGAUAUCGGGAGGAACACCAGUGGCGAAGGCGGUACUCUGGGCCGGAACUGACGCUGAGGAGCGAAAGCGUGGGUAGCGAACAGG
This 254-nucleotide ribosomal RNA is filed under the name uncultured bacterium. Its description in RNAcentral is "partial 16S ribosomal RNA". It matches the Rfam family "Bacterial small subunit ribosomal RNA", at positions 524 to 776 of the family's 1533-position model. The record is from RNAcentral.